This is a long non-coding RNA of Cygnus olor (mute swan), 2208 nucleotides long. RefSeq lists it as uncharacterized. The record is from RefSeq and is a predicted model, not a curated record. The transcript has 4 exons. NCBI's taxonomy places the organism in Eukaryota, Metazoa, Chordata, Aves, Anseriformes, Anatidae.
CAGAUGAGCUGACAGAUGUGAUACUAAUACAGCUGUUGUUCACAGCAGGGUAUUUUUGUUAGUCAGGGGGCAUGCCUUAUACAGCUGCACCCCAAUAACGAUGAACUGCAAUCUGGUGUGUGUAAGUUCUGGCCCCUGCUACCUGAAAUAAAUGAUGUGGUGGAUUUACUCUGGGAGGGUGUUUGAGAAUCGUCUUGACUCCAGAGGCCUGUAGAUGGCAAUCUUGCGCUGCAUUGGAGAAACAAUCCCCAACAUCCUCCACAGCUCCUGGAAAGAGAAAGCUUUGUUAGACACCAGAUGAGGCUGACCAGAGAGUGUCAUACAACAGCACGGGAAACAAGUUGGAGUUGGAGCUUCUGCUGGGAAGGCCACCUGACCUGGAGCUGGGACUUCCUCGCACCUAUCAGAAGUCCCAACGAUCAAAACACUGACCAGACCAGUUUAGAGAGAUAACUGGAAGCUUGGUGUUUGGAGAGAGAAAAUAGCUGAAGAUGAAGCACUGUGGGCAGUUCUAAUUACAGACAAAGCAAGAAAGGCUGUCUACUUCCAGCCCCCUAUGAUUCUAAAGAGCUCUGUUAAAUAACGGACUGCACCGUCUCCAUCAAAGAUCCAUGAAGGUGAAUGCUUCACUGCCAGAAAUACUUAUUUAUAUAUGUGUAUUCUGAACCAUAAAGAGAACCAGGGCUUAUUACAGUCUUUGCUUUAAUUUUUGAACAGCUAGGUGGUGCUGCUCGAAUAUUUAGUAUGUAUUUACUGUUUAAUUUUAGUAUCAUAAUGUUAAGUCAAAGAUCAAGACUCAGAUGUAUGAGAUACAGAGAAAAUGCAAAUUUGCUGCAUGUCCCAAAUGGAUUACAAUGGAAGUAAAAGGGUACACGUUCUCUGCACUUCACCUACUUCUUCAUUCUGUUGAGCCUGAUAAAGCCACAGCUGUAUUGUUUCCAAUAUUCAAAUGAACUAAUUAAAAAUUAGUAGCUUUUUUUUGUGUGUGUGUAAUACUCUCUGAUGUAGUCACACGUGUGAAAGUGAUGAUGAUGGAGAGAGAUCGAGAGGUGUCAGUGAGCUGGGCCAGAAUAGGAGGCAAUGAGCAGACAAAGCUGCUGAGCUGUUCUUUGAAUGGUCACAGCAAAAGGGGGUUAUAAAUAGGAUGCAAUAGGUAAUGUAAGACAGUGAAAUAGCUGGGGGGGGCACAAUGGGAGCAAGGUUUGGAGAAAUAUCUCUAUUGAGCAAUGUAAGAAAUGGGUUCAUGUGUUGAUAUUAAGGCCAGUUGGAAAUUGCUUUUUUUUUCUUUUUUUUUUUUUGAGAAAUAGAUGAAAAAUAACAAGAACAAAUGUGAAUUGGGAAUGCCUGUGUAACUGAAGUCAGGUAGCUUGUGUUAAAGAAGAACUGCUACUGAAUGACUGCCAUGCAGCUGGAGCUGUAAACUAGGAAAAUGAGAAGUAGCAAGAACAUGCAUAAGCAACUCAGAUGCAGCAAAGCUUGGACCACGUCAGAAAGUUUAAUGCAAGAUUGGGACAGUUUUCAGUUGUUCUAAAUCACAAAAUUAAAUAAGUGGUUAUGUUGAUGGAAUAGCAAAUGAUUAUAUCAGUACACUGUUUAAACAAGGGUACUCCAACUUCCUGAAAUUAGUAAUGACUUCGUUUGUUCAGAAAAUCUUAAAGCAUAAAGGGAAAAGGUAGCAGAAUUCAAGUGAAGGUGUCCUAGCUCUUGGUGAGGCUCUGUUAAUAGCAGGUACAGCAGCUAGGGAGCUGCCUUGUGAAAUAGGAAAAUGAUCUUUCAGGCUGCACUAUAGAAAGUCAGGGCUAAAACACGUUCAAGGAACCUGCAAUUUUCUGUUCAUGUGUAAAAGUUUGCUUUCAUAUGCACUUCUCUUAUACAUUCUCUUUUAAAGCCAUGCCUCAGCCUUCUUAAUCUUUAGUAGUUCUCCUCCAAUGGCAGAUGAGUGAUGAAUGCAAAAAUAUACUGUUAUUACUAUUGGAAUCCCAUUGAGAAUAUCCGAUAAUGAAUUCUUCCUUUUUAAGAGGCAGAGAACAUGUGAAAAUGGCACCAUUUUAGUACUUCACUUUCAAUAUAGCUUUUCUGUCUACAGGGGAUGCCAUUUAUGUUUGUAACAUUUCUUCUUACUGCUUAGCUGUAAAAAUGCUACAUAAGACUAAUACAAUUAUAUGCUGUAGCAUGAUUUAAACUGCUGUGAUUUAUGGAAGACAUUAC